Molecule: ribosomal RNA, 253 nt
Filed under: uncultured bacterium
Lineage: Bacteria
Description: partial 16S ribosomal RNA
Rfam family: Bacterial small subunit ribosomal RNA
Source: RNAcentral
UACGGGGGGGGCAAGCGUUGUUCGGAAUUACUGGGCGUAAAGGGCUCGUAGGCGGCCAACUAAGUCAUACGUGAAAUCCCUCGGCUUAACCGGGGAACUGCGUCUGAUACUGGAUGGCUUGAGUUCGGGAGAGGGAUGCGGAAUUCCAGGUGUAGCGGUGAAAUGCGUAGAUAUCUGGAGGAACACCGGUGGCGAAGGCGGCAUCCUGGACCGAUACUGACGCUGAGGCGCGAAAGCGUGGGGAGCGAACAGG